UGAACGCUGGCGGCGUGCCUAAUACAUGCAAGUCGAGCGAACGGACGAGAAGCUUGCUUCUCUGAUGUUAGCGGCGGACGGGUGAGUAACACGUGGAUAACCUACCUAUAAGACUGGGAAAACUUCGGGAAACCGGAGCUAAUACCGGAUAAUAUUUUGAACCGCAUGGUUCAAAAGAAAAAAACGGUUUUGCUGUCACUUAUAGAUGGAUCCGCGCUGCAUUAGCUAGUUGGUAAGGUAACGGCUUACCAAGGCAACGAUGCAUAGCCGACCUGAGAGGGUGAUCGGCCACACUGGAACUGAGACACGGUCCAGACUCCUACGGGAGGCAGCAGUAGGGAAUCUUCCGCAAUGGGCGAAAGCCUGACGGAGCAACGCCGCGUGAGUGAUGAAGGUCUUCGGAUCGUAAAACUCUGUUAUUAGGGAAGAACAUAUGUGUAAGUAACUGUGCACAUCUUGACGGUACCUAAUCAGAAAGCCACGGCUAACUACGUG
This 495-nucleotide ribosomal RNA is filed under the name uncultured bacterium. RNAcentral's name for it is "partial 16S ribosomal RNA". It matches the Rfam family "Bacterial small subunit ribosomal RNA", at positions 30 to 507 of the family's 1533-position model. The record is from RNAcentral.